UACGGAGGAUCCAAGCGUUAUCCGGAAUCAUUGGGUUUAAAGGGUCCGUAGGCGGUUAGAUAAGUCAGUGGUGAAAUCCGGCAGCUUGACUGUCGAACUGCCAUUGAUACUGUUUAACUUGAAUUACUGUGAAGUAACUAGAAUAUGUAGUGUAGCGGUGAAAUGCUUAGAUAUUACAUGGAAUACCAAUUGCGAAGGCAGGUUACUAAUGGUUUAUUGACGCUGAUGGACGAAAGCGUGGGGAGCGAACAGGAUUAGAUACCCUGGUAGUCCACGCUGUAAACGAUGGAUACUAGCUGUUGGGAGUAAUUUCAGUGGCUAAGCGAAAGUGAUAAGUAUCCCACCUGGGGAGUACGAACGCAAGUUUGAA
Molecule: ribosomal RNA, 370 nt
Filed under: uncultured bacterium
Lineage: Bacteria
Description: bacterial SSU rRNA
Rfam family: Bacterial small subunit ribosomal RNA
Source: RNAcentral